CAACUUUGCUAUCUUAGAACGGAUCACCAGUGAAAGAGGGGAAGUUGCUACUGUGAUGAAUUCUGCCAUGUGGUACCAGACUGCUGCCCAGACCACAGUGUCCUCUGCAACCCUGGUAACUCACAUACAGGCCUGAUUCCACCUACAGCAAAGCUGGAUGCUAUGGUUGGCAGAGGCAAGCCCCUUGCCUGCACUUCAGGCCAAAGCCGGGAUGUGGCCUAGAUGGUUCCUAAGGUCCCUGACAGUCCUGAGAUCUUUCAUCUUGUCUAUUUCAGGUCAAAGGUGCCUACAUGUUCCUUCUAGCUUUGUUUCCCUGAUGUUCCUUGCCACCUGCUACUCCUCUCUGAGCUACUUUUCCAGGUUCCACAGGGAGAGGUUCAGCUGUCCAUGGUAGACAUGAGGGUAGAGAAUGAGAUGGUUGGGUUCCACUUACCUUUCUAUCAUCUUGCAGUAUGGAUGUCUCUUGACUGGUACCAUGUAGACUUUUGAGGGCAGACAGGAGUCUGCAGAGAGAUACUGGGGAUAUUGAGCAGCAGCAAUGGGGUUGGGAGGCAGAAAUGAGGACAGGAACAUUUACCUUGUGUUUCUCUCAGCUUCUCAGAUGACCAAGAUGGUGCUGCCGAUGGUGUUGAGGACGGAGAACCCACCAAGCCCCGUUAGGAGCCACCUAGACUGGAUGCAGAGCACAUGAUGAAAGGAGAGGCGGCAGACCUU
Molecule: long non-coding RNA, 714 nt
Filed under: Pongo abelii (Sumatran orangutan)
Lineage: Eukaryota; Metazoa; Chordata; Mammalia; Primates; Hominidae
Description: lincRNA
Source: RNAcentral